Molecule: non-coding RNA, 21 nt
Organism: Caenorhabditis elegans
Lineage: Eukaryota; Metazoa; Nematoda; Chromadorea; Rhabditida; Rhabditidae
Source: Ensembl
UAAUAAGAUCACUGUCGUUGA